ACUCAAAGGAAUUGACGGGGGCCCGCACAAGCGGUGGAGCAUGUGGUUUAAUUCGACGCAACGCGAAGAACCUUACCCAGGCUCGAAAUGCGAGUGACAGGCGGCGAAAGUCGCUUUCCGCAAGGACACUCGUAUAGGUGCUGCAUGGCUGUCGUCAGCUCGUGUCGUGAGAUGUUGGGUUAAGUCCCGCAACGAGCGCAACCCUUAUCUGCUGUUGCCAUCAGGUUAUGCUGGGCACUCUGCGGAGACUGCCGGUGAUAAACCGGAGGAAGGUGGGGAUGACGUCAAGUCAGCAUGGCCUUUAUGUCUGGGGCUACACACGUGCUACAAUGGCCGGUACAAAGCGUCGCGAUCCCGCGAGGGGGAGCUAAUCGCAGAAAGCCGGUCUCAGUUCGGAUUGUAGGCUGCAACUCGCCUGCAUGAAGUUGGAAUCGCUAGUAAUCGCAGAUCAGCAGGCUGCGGUGAAUACGUUCCCGGGCCUUGUACACACCGCCCGU
RNAcentral lists this ribosomal RNA (497 nucleotides) under uncultured bacterium. Its description in RNAcentral is "partial 16S ribosomal RNA". It matches the Rfam family "Bacterial small subunit ribosomal RNA", at positions 899 to 1397 of the family's 1533-position model. The record is from RNAcentral.